This 57-nucleotide transfer RNA is filed under the name Bos taurus (domestic cattle). It matches the Rfam family "tRNA", at positions 8 to 63 of the family's 71-position model. From Rfam's summary of the family: Transfer RNA (tRNA) molecules are approximately 80 nucleotides in length. Their secondary structure includes four short double-helical elements and three loops (D, anti-codon, and T loops). The record is from Rfam by way of RNAcentral. RNAcentral also lists the same sequence under 3 other names. Lineage: Eukaryota; Metazoa; Chordata; Mammalia; Artiodactyla; Bovidae.
UGGCUCAGACGGUAAAGCAUCUGUCUACGAUGCAGGAGACCCAGGUUCGAUCCCUGG